AGUGGGGUCAGCCUCGAUCCCAGUGCUUCACGUGAGCAGCCUUUCCCAGGUAGGGCUGCUCUUGUGAAUCGCCUUCUUGAUUUCCCUUGGAAAAGCAUCUAUUGUUAUUGGCCAAAACACUUGGCAGAAACUACAAAGAUACACAGAAAAGUUAUUAACUGAAAAGAGUAAUUAAAAUUUGUCCUGCACCUGCGUGGCACACCUAUCUGGACAAAAACAUAGGAAUUUUGACUAUAUUUUUGGACUGCUAAACAGCAUCUUGUAGUUUUCUUUGCAUCUGUUUUGCGUGGCAUCUAAGUUGCUUAGUGAACAGUAGGUUUCAUAAUGGUAUUGUUGUGAUUAAUAUCUGCAGCUGCUUGCCUCUGUGCAGGGGACAGCAAAAACAAGAGAAGGCUAUGUGGCUGCUGCUGCUGCAACAUUUGAGGAUGUCCAGAACAAAGCUGCUGUGCAAGUCUGUAAUAGGAUUGUUUGUUUGUUUGUUUUAAAAUGUCUAUACUGCCUUUUAACCAAAAAAUUUCCAUUGCAUAACAAAUGUCUAUACUGCCUGUAGGAUUCCAUAGGCGAAUGGCCAAGGAUUUGAACAGCAGUUCUCCAGUAGCAUCGUCUGGAGCCUACCAGCCAGGUAUGACAGUAUUGUCCUAUAUAGAGAUGUAGCGAGGUUGAAGAUGGUCCUGGGACAAGAUAUGAGCAUGUCCUCUGCCUGCACUGCCUCUAUCACCCAUCUGCCUGCCAUCAGCAGCCUGCCUUUGCUGAGCACUCUGCUUGACUCCAACCCUGCACCAGCCACGCCCUGUCAGUGUCAUUAAAAACCAUAUGGAUGAGCUGGAAGGACAAAUAGAAGGUCUCUGG
This is a long non-coding RNA of Hemicordylus capensis (graceful crag lizard), 849 nucleotides long. RefSeq lists it as uncharacterized. Lineage: Eukaryota; Metazoa; Chordata; Lepidosauria; Squamata; Cordylidae. The transcript is spliced from 3 exons. The record is from RefSeq and is a predicted model, not a curated record.